AUUGAACGCUGGCGGCAGGCCUAACACAUGCAAGUCGAGCGGAUGAAGGGAGCUUGCUCCUAGAUUCAGCGGCGGACGGGUGAGUAAUGCCUAGGAAUCUGCCUGGUAGUGGGGGAUAACGUCCGGAAACGGGCGCUAAUACCGCAUACGUCCUGCGGGAGAAAGUGGGGGAUCUUCGGACCUCACGCUAUCAGAUGAGCCUAGGUCGGAUUAGCUAGUUGGUGGGGUAAAUGCCUACCAAGGCGACGAUCCGUAACUGGUCUGAGAGGAUGAUCAGUCACACUGGAACUGAGACACGGUCCAGACUCCUACGGGAGGCAGCAGUGGGGAAUAUUGGACAAUGGGCGAAAGCCUGAUCCAGCCAUGCCGCGUGUGUGAAGAAGGUCUUCGGAUUGUAAAGCACUUUAAGUUGGGAGGAAGGGCAGUAAGUUAAUACCUUGCUGUUUUGACGUUACCAACAGAAUAAGCACCGGCUAACUUCGUG
Molecule: ribosomal RNA, 484 nt
Filed under: uncultured bacterium
Lineage: Bacteria
Description: partial 16S ribosomal RNA
Rfam family: Bacterial small subunit ribosomal RNA
Source: RNAcentral